UGCAGUCGAGCGCAGGAAGUCUCACGGAACUCUUCGGAGGGAAGUGGAGGGAAUGAGCGGCGGACGGGUGAGUAACACGUAAGGAACCUGCCCUCAGGACUGGGAUAACUCCGAGAAAUCGGAGCUAAUACCGAAUGGGUCUUCAGACCGCAUGGUCUGAUGAUGAAAGGCGCUCCGGCGUCACCCUUGGGGAUGGCCUUGCGGUGCAUUAGCUAGUUGGUGGGGUAAUGGCCCACCAAGGCGACGAUGCAUAGCCGACCUGAGAGGGUGAUCGGCCACACUGGGACUGAGACACGGCCCAGACUCCUACGGGAGGCAGCAGUAGGGAAUCUUCCACAAUGGACGAAAGUCUGAUGGAGCAACGCCGCGUGAAUGAUGAAGGUCUUCGGAUCGUAAAGCUCUGUUGUAAGGGAAGAACAAGUGCCACAGGUAAUGCUCGUACCUUGACGGUACCUUGCGAGAAAGCCACGGCUAACUACGUGCCAGCAGCCGCGGUAAUACGUAGGUGGCAAGCGUUGUCCGGAAUUAUUGGGCGUAAAGCGCGCGCAGGCGGCCUUUUAAGUCUGAUGUGAAAGCCCCCGGCUCAACCGGGGAGGGUCAUUGGAAACUGGGAGGCUUGAGUACAGGAGAGAAGAGUGGAAUUCCAUGUGUAGCGGUGAAAUGCGUANAGAUGUGGAGGAACACCAGUGGGCGAAGGCGACUCUUUGGCCUGUAACUGACGCUGAAGUGCGAAAGCGUGGGG
This 742-nucleotide ribosomal RNA is filed under the name Exiguobacterium artemiae. Its description in RNAcentral is "bacterial SSU rRNA". It matches the Rfam family "Bacterial small subunit ribosomal RNA", at positions 56 to 766 of the family's 1533-position model. Lineage: Bacteria; Bacillati; Bacillota; Bacilli; Caryophanales. The record is from RNAcentral.